UAAUAUCAUGUCUUUAUUUGUCAUUAAGUUUCCCUACAAUCUUUUGCUGAGUAUACUUUUUAUGUCCUGCAGGAGACCCUGUAUCACAUUGUGUCUUCAUUAGUAUACUUCACAUCUGCCCUUUAUCUCCUCAUUUACCUUACCGAAAAUAAGCGCUAUGUUCAGGAUCAGGUAGCCAAGACGGCUGCAAGUGCUUUGGGUCUCGUAAACACAGCACUUUAUAUUCUCUCCAGUAUCUACUCAGUGAGAACCUUCAGGCGGGGAUGAAGUGGAGAGAAACUAGAAUAUGGAACAACAGAAAUUGUGCAACAUUUUCGGUUUUCUUUGGGAAUCCUUAAGCUUGUAAUUACUUGUAGGGUUAUGUAGAGAAGACAAAAAUCUGCAUUUUGAAAUCUAGAAUAAGAUGAAAACAGGAUUAUCAUUAAAUUUUCAUGAAGUACAUCUGUCUUUUUUGUUGAGAAAUGUUGUGCAGAUUUGGCAGAUAUGGAUGAAAUUUGCAUUACAUUUCUCUUUCUUUCUUUCUUUUCUUCUUUUCUAUUUUCUAAAUGCAUACAAAUCAAACAAAAUUUAAAGCCAUUUUUAUAAGUUGGAGGUAUGAUCUCUUUCCUUAUUUACAAAUUCAAUAAAAAAAUAUUGAAAAAUGAAUGUCUAAUUGAUGUCUUGUAGCAUUUUCUUGGUGCCUUACUUUGGUGUCUUGGUCACCUGCGAGUAGUGACAUAUUUAUGCCCAAAGAGAAGUCCAGUGUUACAGAUACGUAACACAAUAAUAUUUGUAAAAUGGAAUGAGAAAGACAAAGAAUACAAAAAGAGAUACCCUCAAUAUAUAUUUUUUUUUUACCAUGAGAGAAGUUUUAAUUCAAAACACAGUAACUGUAUUUCUUGUCUAUUCUUAUGGCAGUGUUUCACUCAGGAGUCAAUUAACUUGAGGGUUCUUCAUGAAAUACUUAAUAUAAAUGUGUAUUAUAAAGCAAUUUCAAUGCAUAAAACCUAUGAUAGAUAUGCUUAUGGUAUUAGUCAAGUAGUGAUAUGCUCAUAGCUGUCAGUGAUUUUUCUUUUAGUCACAGUCUUCUUAUAGUAAAGUUGAGGCUUUAAGAUAUAUCCUGCAUACUUACCAUGAAUAAGGCACAUUUAUAUAUAUUUUAUAUUAUUUAUACUGUAUGAACCUUUAUAUUACUCAUUCAUGGUGAAGAAGACAGAAAUAUUGUCAUGUAAUGUGAUCGUAGAUUGUGAAAUAGAGUGUAUUUGUUUAUAUGCCAUCAUAUAAGCAGAUAUAGUUACUAUAAAUAAUUUCCAAAAGAUGAAGUGCAAAAAUUUAUCAAUUCUAAGAACUAACUCUAAUUACAAACAUAACAGAUUUUUUAUGUCACCAUGAAUAGUGCAAAGGAACAAAAUAUUAGAGAUGUUCAUGUAUUUUGAGCUCUGAUAUUUUGAUGUACCUUGAGAAAUAAAAAGAAAAAAAAGGUACACAUAACCAUAACAAAUUCACUUGUUUGAUCAAAUUUUGAAUGAAAGAUUUUUAUGUAUUUCUUUUGACCAUUAUUCCCUCCCAAACAUUUUUUCAUGAUGGCCAGUUUUUGUUUUUUUCCAUAUCCGCUCUAUUGGCUUCAUACAUGUGUAUACUCUACUAUGUGUUCAUAUAAUUUCUCUUGUAGUCUCAUUUAUUUAUACCAUAUGUUUUUGUGAUAUCUAUAAAAAAAAGUAAUGGAAAAAUAUAGAGAGAGAAAUGGAAUUAGUUAUUUAGUCUAUUAUGAUAAGGUACAGUUAUGCCCAAUCAGUUGUUUUAAUUUUUCUUUGGAAUUUCAUAAUUUAUGAUUGAAAAAUUCCUUGAAUAGUCAUACAGUAAAUAACUGAUUAUUAAUAUUAUUAAUGUACAACAUAUUUUUUUCUGAAUAUUACUUGAUUGUGUUCAUCUUCACUGACUUAACUGGAUGUCUAAAGUAAUUUUUUUAUAUAUUAGAUGUAGCUGGCUUAAUGUUCAUACUCCGUGCCUCAGUCGUCUCUUAAAAUGCAAAGAGCAAUAUGUUUGUAACAUUUUUAUGUACUUGAUACUGAAGAUUUAAAGAAAUAAUUUUUUUGUGGACUGUAA
Penaeus indicus is the source of this 2085-nucleotide long non-coding RNA. RefSeq lists it as uncharacterized. NCBI's taxonomy places the organism in Eukaryota, Metazoa, Arthropoda, Malacostraca, Decapoda, Penaeidae. The transcript is spliced from 2 exons. The record is from RefSeq and is a predicted model, not a curated record.